Molecule: ribosomal RNA, 408 nt
Filed under: uncultured bacterium
Lineage: Bacteria
Description: partial 16S ribosomal RNA
Rfam family: Bacterial small subunit ribosomal RNA
Source: RNAcentral
GACGAACGCUGGCGGCGUGCUUAACACAUGCAAGUCGAACGAAGUGGCGAACGGGUGAGUAAUACGUGGGUAACCUGCCCUCCUUUUUGGGAUAAGCCUUGGAAACGGGGUCUAAUACCGCAUAAAGGGGGAUGGGCUCGCGGCCUAUCAGCUUGUAGGUGGGGUGAUGGCCUACCAAGGCGGUGACGGGUAGUCGGCCUGAUAGGGUGACCGGCAAGAGUGGGCAGGAGAUACGGCCCAGACUCCUACGGGAGGCGGCAGUGGGGGAUAGUGCGCAAUGGGCGAAAGCCUGCGGCAGCGGCGCCGCGUGGGGGAUGAAGGCUUUCGGGUUGUAAACCUCUUACGCUAUCGAGCGGGUAGGUGGAGAAGAAGCGCCGGCUAACUACGUGCCAGCAGCCGCGGUAAUUC